This is a non-coding RNA of Pelodiscus sinensis (Chinese soft-shelled turtle), 592 nucleotides long. Lineage: Eukaryota; Metazoa; Chordata; Testudines; Trionychidae. The record is from RefSeq and is a predicted model, not a curated record.
AUAGUACUCCACCUCAGCGAGAGAUGUAGUGCUAGAAUUUACCUUCCUAGGUUGAAUUAGGGAUAGUGAAAAUACAGUGCUGUGUGAUUUGAUAUGAUUGGCCUCUAAGAUGUGUCCCAGAGUGCUCCACCAUGAUCGCUCUGGACAGAACUUUGAACUCCACUACAUUUCAGCAAGAGUGCCAGAAAAUUGCUGUUUUUGUGCUUGUUUAUUCUGGAUGGAUUUUUAUAGUGUUGAAGUCACACACUGCAGCCCUUUGAUUCUGCUCCUGAGAAAUUAGCAGAGAUUCCAGUAGAGGUGAUACAGAGAAGAGACAAAGGUCCUUGCCUGGAGUCCUGAGCAGGAGACCUGAUUGGGAACUCUUGGAAUGGACCAUGGAGAGAUACAAAUACAGUUACACUGAAAGUGUGACACACGUGUUUUGGUAUAAAAGCAAGUUUAAACUUAAGUUGAGAGCUAAGAUAAAUUCAUUGUUAUAAUAAAUUCUUUGACUCCUGUCUACAAUUUAAAUGUAGCUGUCUCUCUGAAGCAAGUAUAUCACUGUCAGUGUGGAAUAGGAGAUACAUAAAAAUGUACUCGGAGCUGUCUAGGA